AACAGGAUUAGAUACCCUGGUAGUCCACGCCCUAAACGAUGAUGACUAGUUGUUGGGGGAGUUAAAUCCCUCAGUAACGCAGCUAACGCGUGAAGUCGUCCGCCUGGGGAGUACGGUCGCAAGAUUAAAACUCAAAGGAAUUGACGGGGGCCUGCACAAGCGGUGGAUGAUGUGGUUUAAUUCGACGCAACGCGAAAAACCUUACCUACCCUUGACAUGUGAGGGACCCUGCAGAGAUGCAGGGGUGCCCGAAAGGGAACCUCAACACAGGUGCUGCAUGGCUGUCGUCAGCUCGUGUCGUGAGAUGUUGGGUUAAGUCCCGCAACGAGCGCAACCCUUGCCAUCAGUUGCUACAUUCAGUUGAGCACUCUAAUGGGACUGCCGGUGACAAACCGGAGGAAGGUGGGGAUGACGUCAAGUCCUCAUGGCCCUUAUGGGUAGGGCUACACACGUCAUACAAUGGCGCGUACAGAGGGUUGCCAACCCGCGAGGGGGAGCCAAUCCCAGAAAGCGCGUCGUAGUCCGGAUUGAAGUCUGCAACUCGACUUCAUGAAGUCGGAAUCGCUAGUAAUCGCGGAUCGGCAUGUCGCGGUGAAUACGUUCCCGGGCCUUGUACACACCGCCCGUCACACCAUGGGGAGUGGGGUUCACCAGAAGCAGGUUGCCUAACCGCAAGGAGGGCGCCUACCACGGUGAGCCUCAUGACUUGGGUGAAGUCGUAACAAGGUAACC
This 732-nucleotide ribosomal RNA is filed under the name uncultured bacterium. RNAcentral's name for it is "bacterial SSU rRNA". It matches the Rfam family "Bacterial small subunit ribosomal RNA", at positions 771 to 1501 of the family's 1533-position model. The record is from RNAcentral.